Molecule: long non-coding RNA, 1019 nt
Organism: Gasterosteus aculeatus aculeatus (three-spined stickleback)
Lineage: Eukaryota; Metazoa; Chordata; Actinopteri; Perciformes; Gasterosteidae
Source: Ensembl
CGAAGGGGGGUGGCAGUGACGAUCAGAGAGAGGCAGCGGCGUGCAAUUGGAGGUUUUUCUUAAAGCUUAAAGAACACCGUUGAAGUCUCCCUAAAAUGGGUCACCAGCCCCCCCUUAAAAAACCCGCCAAUGCUUCCUGGGCUGCAAGAACAACCACAUCGUUAUCUGCCCUUCAGGUCAAGACGUCGACUCUUCCUUUUAAAAUCAAUGCAAAGUAUUUAAAUGUACACAUCGAUGAUUUAGAUUAGGUGAUUAUUUUUUAAAACCUCCAGUUGCCUCCUCGAGUUUUUGCAUUUUUGUUUUGUUUGUCAAAAUAUGUUUCAUAAAAGGCUUAUUUGUCCCAGUAUCAGUUUCACCGCGAGUCACUAAAUCGUACCAUAGUGGCACCCAGACCGCGUCUCCAGGCCCGUUGGGCUUGUAAGCGCGUUCCCGUAUGCGUGUUGGUUCUUUUCCGGCUCGAUGCUGGCGUGGGAACGGCGCUGAAUAGGGAGGAGGAGGCGGCUGCUGGUGUGCAGCUCUGUCGCAGCGGGUGGAUCGGGUGGAGCGAGUGGAUCGGGUGGGGUCACCCACCUGCUUCCCGAAGUGGAAACCAACCGGUUCUUGGCAAGGCAUCACGAGGGAGGGCCCUGGGGUUGUUGUGCACAAACUGGACCAGCGUGUGUGCUGUAGGUUGUGUUGGAACACGUGUCCUGUCAUCAAACGGCGAGUUCAACUGAGAUGUGUGCGUCGUCGGCGAACACUCGGAUCGCCCGCGUGUCUUCUUCAAGAAUUUGGUCCAGUCUUUCAAAAAGACAACAGCGCGUGUGGAUCUAAACGCCCUGGAAUUAAAGCGGAAAGUUGGAACUUUAAUGUCAUCGACGUUUUUUCAUUUUAAAUCCAAUUUGCUGGUUUACGGAGCGCGACAGUGAAACCUAUUUCACCCACCUGCCCCGUUCUGAGUGCGCCGUGUGUCCCCCUCAGACCCACACGUGUUUGUUCAUUCAGGCCCGUUUUCCAGUUUUAACACCCCCCCCCCCCCC